GUAUAUUGCAAACUGGAAGGAAAUUGCAACAAGCAACUCUUCAGUUAACUAUAAAGGUAGGUGAUUUUUAGCAAUACUUUUGGGAAAUUCUCAUGAACUAUAAUUAUACAUUUCACAUAUGUAAACAUUUCUAAAUAUCCAAAAUUUCAGUAACCUACACAAUAUAUAGAUAUAAAAGAAUAUGAGGAGUCAUUUUUACCUUUAUAUGUAAGACUGUUAUUUAGGAAUAGAAUGAAAUUUUCUAGUUUGUUUAGGAUUGAAUAAAGUGUGUGUGUCUUUUUAAGUUGUAUCUCAUGGUUUCAGCAAUAAUAGCCCUUUUUAAAUGUUUUUUAAAAAAAUUUUGAGCCAGGCAUGGUGGUACAUACCUGUAAUCCCAGUGGCUCGGGAAGCUGAGGCAGGAAGAUCUCAAGUUCAAAGCCAGCCUCAGCAAAAGCAAUGUGUUAAGCAACUCAGUGAGAUCUUCUGUCUAAAUGAAAUACAAAAUAGGGCUGGGGAUGUGGCUCAGUGGUUGUGUGCCCCUGAGUUCAAUCCCCUGUACCCCCCCCCCAAAAAAAAAAAAAAACACAACAAAAAAUUUGAGAUGGGGUCUUGUUAAGUCACUUAGGGCCUUGCUAAAUUGCUAAGGCUGGCCUUGAACUUGUGAUCUUCCUGCUUCACCCUUUGGAGGUGCUGGAAUUAUAGGCAUGCACCACUGCUCCCAGCUUCAGCAAUGAUUUUUAAUGGGCAAACUUUAUUUGGCAAAAUAAAUGUCACAAAAUGUUGAAAACACUUUUUAGGAUCUAUGCCACUAUUGUUCUUCCAGUGGUCAAGAAUACUGAGAAGCUAAAAGUGAUAACCAGCAUGUUGAAGUAGAGUAUCUUCUGCAGGGGUACAGGGGUCUAAGGAGGUAUCUGGAAGUGGAGGAGAUCUUUACUUGGAUCUUCCAGAUUCUUGACUAUCACAGAAAAGAAUUUAAUGACAAAACAGGUUUUAGCAAAGAUCUUUAUUAGAAAGCAAAAGGUGAAAGUACCUUCUCAGAGCAGAGAGCAGGCAGUCUUAAGAGUGACUCACAUUGUCUUGUUCUGGGGUUUUAACAUUUAUAGUAGAAAAGCAGAUGGGACUGAACUAGAGGUAGAGUCAGGGCAUGGUUAUGAAAUUCUGCUCAUUGUUGUUGUGGUUGCACAUUGCCCUUGCUAUUCUAAUAAUGCUACUUUCUAAAUCACAUUUCUUUAGCAUUUUAAAUUUCCACACUGGGGUGUGCAAAAUUUACUAUUAUAAGGAGACUAGGGUCAUUUCUUAUUCACCAAAGUCUUUAAUGCACAUGCUUCUCAAAGGAGUGGUUUCUCCACCUUGUGGUUAUCUUGGGGUUUUGUUGCUUUUUCAGCAGCCCAUCAGCAAGCUGCAGGCAAGGACACAGGCACACAAAGGUGGGGUUGCUCAGAGUUGUUUUGCAUUUCCAUUGUUUAUGGAUGUUUUUCUUUUGAGACUCAGUGUUCUCUCUGUAUCCCUAAAUUCCUAUCCUGAUAUCCCAGAAAUACCAAUAAUUCUAACAUAGUCAAAUUCUGAUUGUGGUUACUGUAUGAUCUGAGUGUGAGUUCUGCCUUAUCUUCUAUGAAAAGCAGUAAACCAAGGGGUUAACAAACAUGUAGUUUGGGUUUGAUUUUUGGCUGUACUGCUUACUGGCUGUAUGAUCUGGGCAAGCCAGUAGCUCAAUUUUCUUGUCUGUAAAACCAGAAUUUAAAAAAAGUACCCAGCUGACAGUUGUGAGAUAGCAAGAGGUAAUAUUUGUAAAGAGUUUAGAAUAGUGCCUUGGCACAAAAUACUACUCCAUAAAUAUGAGUCAUCAUUAGCUUUAGCCUAUUCACUUAUUUCCAACUGGUUGCCUCCACACUGUCCAAGGUACCAUCCCCCACAGGCUUCUGCAGUGGCCUCCAAAUUGAUGCUCCUCCAGUCCAUUCCCUGCACAACAGAUAGUUUACACAUUUAAAUCAGCACAACUGGAACUCUUCUAUUUGCUAACAAACUCUUCUUUAGCAAUUGCAUUGUAGUAACUCAUUUGGUUUUCAAAACAAUCCAACCAAACAGGUUCUAUUAUUUGCAUUUACAGAGAAGCAAACAAGGAGGUGCUAUGAUUUGUUUGAGGACACACAAUUUGUGUGAGGGCCAGGAUUUUAAUUGAAGCAGGUUAGCUAAGAAUUCAUGCUUUUAAACAUGACCACACUCUGCUGCCUUACAUUGUCUUCUACCACACAAAAAAGCCUAAACUGAUCAUGGCCUUGCCUCUGACUGUGGCCUAGCCUUCUACUUGUACAUGCUCCCCCUCUUGCUCCUCACUGUUUUCAUGCCUGUACCUCAAACACGUGAUGCAAUUUUCACUUUGGAGGAUUAAUCGUUGAUGGUCUUCUAGAGCUCAGUUUAGGUAACCUUCUUCACUAGAGGGCAGAGUGUUGUCUAUUCCCUUUGCUACAGAAAUCCCAAUGUGUAACACUUAGUAGGUUCUUACUGGCUGAUCAAAGAAUAUAAAGGAAUGGAAAGUACAAAAAGAAACUAUAUAAAUUACUGAGUUAUAAAAGAUCACCAUGAAAGAAAAGAUACAGGAUGUUAGUUAGAAGGGGCACAAGAACAAGAAAAAAUUAUUUCUCAUAGUGGAGAUUUGCAUCACUGAAGCCAGUGAAGAUGAUGAAUUGAAGAUAUUGGUAUUAGAGAAGAAUGUGUGCCACCUCUUCAAGAAGCAGGUCAAAUCCAGAACAGAUAUGGGAACUUCAGCUCUGCAGAAGAAAAAAGGCAUCUGUUCAUUUGUGAAUAAAGAGCUAAUAGUUAAUUACAGAGAACUAAAUGACAAACACUAGGAAAACUUCUUUACACGCACCAUCACAUUUAAUUCCCUCUUUAUUAGGAUGAGGUAGGUGCUAUUAUAUCCCAACUUUCAGAUGACAUUGAGACUUAAAGAACUUUAAUAAUUACCCCAAAUCAAACAGCUAGUUAUUAGAUCAAACUUCACUCAACCUCAGGUCCUGCAGAACAAUAAUAUAUGGUGGUGAAAAUAGGAUGAAUUCAGAAAUUUGGGGCAGAAAUUUAUGAUUUCAGUUAAACAACAUAUAAAGAAAGGUAUCUACUCUGGGUGGGUUGUGGAUCAGUGGUAGAGCGCUUGUCUCACAUGUGUGAGGCACUGGAUUCAAUUCUCAGCACUACAUAUAAGUAAAUGAAUAAAAUAAAGGUCCAUCAACAACUAAAAUUGUAUAUGUAUGUAUGUGUGUGUGUGUGUGUGUGUGUGUAUAUAUAUAUAUAUAUAUAUAUAUAUGAUAUCUAUUCUGAGUGGUGAAAAGGGAUAUGGAAUAGAUCUUACCUGGCCAUAGUAUCAUAUUAAAUGAAUCUACCUUAUCAUAUUUAGCAUCUAAUCAUUUGUCAUUUCUCUUUAGGUUUCAGAUUUGAGCAAGAACAGAAAGAUACACGCAACGCUGAAGAUAGAUCAGAGGUGCACAUGGAAGCACCAUAUGAUUAUUUAUAUGGCAAUAUUUAUGAAAAACCAAAUUUUACUAGAGUAACACCUGAUUCCACUUAUAGAAUGUAAACAUAAAAUACAUUAUUUUAUUUUCUGAGGUUAUGGUCCUUCAAGCCCUGCAUUUACCAGUUACAGUUGAGAGAACUUACUCUGACUGAAGCAGCUUGUAUGUCUAUUCUCAGCAUAGAAUCUACCCCAGUUAAGAAACGAAUAUUAAACAGAAAUAACAUUAGACUGCAUACAGUAGUCAAGAAAAAUACAGAAAUCAGUUCUAGAAUGCUGAUAAACCAUAAUUGUAACAGUCAUGCAUAAGAUACUACAUUUAGGUAUAAAAAGUAAUCAGAUUGUUUUCCUCCUUUGAAGCCUUUAGGGAAAUCAUAUAAGGUCAUAUCUAAAUGGCUUUGCUUUUUCCAUUCCCUCUCCAACUUUCCCUUAUUCUUUUAUUUCUUCACUAAAUCUUAAAAAAUUCACAUAUUAAACAAUUUAUGGUAUACAGUAUAUUUCAA
This 3987-nucleotide long non-coding RNA is filed under the name Marmota monax (woodchuck). Lineage: Eukaryota; Metazoa; Chordata; Mammalia; Rodentia; Sciuridae. The record is from RNAcentral.